RNAcentral lists this ribosomal RNA (1006 nucleotides) under human gut metagenome. RNAcentral describes it as "bacterial LSU rRNA". It matches the Rfam family "Bacterial large subunit ribosomal RNA", at positions 1924 to 2925 of the family's 2925-position model. The record is from RNAcentral.
UAAACGGCGGCCGUAACUAUAACGGUCCUAAGGUAGCGAAAUUCCUUGUCGGGUAAGUUCCGACCUGCACGAAUGGCAUAACGAUGGCCACACUGUCUCCUCCCGAGACUCAGUGAAGUUGAAAUGUUUGUGAUGAUGCAAUCUACCCGCGGCUAGACGGAAAGACCCCAUGAACCUUUACUGCAGCUUUGCAUUGAACUGUGAACCGAUUUGUGUAGGAUAGGUGGGAGGCAGAGAAGAGGCCCCGCCAGUGGCCUUGGAGCCGACCUUGAAAUACCACCCUGAUUUGUUUGCGGUUCUAACCACGGACAGUGAUCCUGUCUUGGGACCGUGCAUGGUAGGCAGUUUGACUGGGGCGGUCUCCUCCUAAAGGGUAACGGAGGAGUACGAAGGUACGCUAGGUACGGUCGGAAAUCGUGCUGAUAGUGCAAUGGCAAAAGCGUGCUUGACUGCGAGAGCAACAACUCGAGCAGAUGCGAAAGCAGGUCAUAGUGAUCCGGUGGCUCUGAAUGGAAGGGCCAUCGCUCAACGGAUAAAAGGUACUCUGGGGAUAACAGGCUGAUACCGCCCAAGAGUUCAUAUCGACGGCGGUGUUUGGCACCUCGAUGUCGGCUCAUCUCAUCCUGGGGCUGUAGUCGGUCCCAAGGGUAUGGCUGUUCGCCAUUUAAAGAGGUACGUGAGCUGGGUUUAAAACGUCGUGAGACAGUUUGGUCCCUAUCUGCCGUGGGCGUUGGAAGAUUGACGGGGGCUGCUCCUAGUACGAGAGGACCGGAGUGGACGCACCUCUGGUGUACCGGUUGUCACGCCAGUGGCAUUGCCGGGUAGCUAAGUGCGGAAGAGAUAACCGCUGAAAGCAUCUAAGCGGGAAACUUGCCUGAAGAUGAGUCUUCCCGGAGGUUGAACCUCCCUCAAGAGUCGUCCGAGACCAGGACGUCGAUAGGUCAGGUGUGUAAGCGCUGUAAGGCGUUGAGCUAACUGAUACUAAUUGCUCGUGAGGCUUGAUCCU